RNAcentral lists this ribosomal RNA (428 nucleotides) under uncultured bacterium. RNAcentral's name for it is "bacterial SSU rRNA". It matches the Rfam family "Bacterial small subunit ribosomal RNA", at positions 355 to 796 of the family's 1533-position model. The record is from RNAcentral.
UCGAGAAUAUUUGGCAAUGGGCGAAAGCCUGACCAUGCGACGCCGCGUGCUGGAUGAAGUCCUUCGGGACGUAAACAGCUUUUACGCGUGAAGAAGUAAUUGACAUCAGCGCGAGAAUAAGGGGCUCCUAACUCUGUGCCAGCAGGAGCGGUAAUACAGAGGCCCCGAGCAUUAUCCGGAAUCACUGGGCGUAAAGGGUGUGUAGGCGGUCGUGUUAGUCCUUCGUGAAAGACCUCUGGCUUAACCAGGGGGACGCGGUGGAAACGGCACGGCUCGAGGGCGCGAGAGGUACAGGGAACUCAUGGUGUAGGGGUGAAAUCCGUUGAUAUCAUGGGGAACACCAAAUGCGAAGGCACUGUACUGGCGCGUUUCUGACGCUGAAACACGAAAGCGUGGGAAUCGAACGGGAUUAGAUACCCGCGUAGUCC